This 465-nucleotide ribosomal RNA is filed under the name Vreelandella stevensii. RNAcentral's name for it is "partial 16S ribosomal RNA". It matches the Rfam family "Bacterial small subunit ribosomal RNA", at positions 338 to 795 of the family's 1533-position model. The record is from RNAcentral. Lineage: Bacteria; Pseudomonadati; Pseudomonadota; Gammaproteobacteria; Oceanospirillales; Halomonadaceae.
CCUACGGCGGGCAGCAGUGGGGAAUAUUGGACAAUGGGCGAAAGCCUGAUCCAGCCAUGCCGCGUUUGUGAAGAAGGCCUUCGGGUUGUAAAGCACUUUCAGUGGGGAAGAAAGCCUUGGGGCUAAUACCCUCGAGGAAGGACAUCACCCACAGAAGAAGCACCGGCUAACUCCGUGCCAGCAGCCGCGGUAAUACGGAGGGUGCGAGCGUUAAUCGGAAUUACUGGGCGUAAAGCGCGCGUAGGCGGUCUGAUAAGCCGGUUGUGAAAGCCCCGGGCUCAACCUGGGAACGGCAUCCGGAACUGUCAGGCUAGAGUGCAGGAGAGGAAGGUAGAAUUCCCGGUGUAGCGGUGAAAUGCGUAGAGAUCGGGAGGAAUACCAGUGGCGAAGGCGGCCUUCUGGACUGACACUGACGCUGAGGUGCGAAAGCGUGGGUAGCAAACAGGAUUAGAUACCCUGGUAGUC